Molecule: non-coding RNA, 30 nt
Filed under: Mus musculus (house mouse)
Lineage: Eukaryota; Metazoa; Chordata; Mammalia; Rodentia; Muridae
Source: RNAcentral
UGCUCCUUGAGCUUGGUAGCCUGGGUUUGU